This 148-nucleotide small RNA is filed under the name Macaca mulatta (Rhesus monkey). RNAcentral's name for it is "Metazoan signal recognition particle RNA (ENSMMUG00000059559.1)". Lineage: Eukaryota; Metazoa; Chordata; Mammalia; Primates; Cercopithecidae. The record is from Rfam by way of RNAcentral.
GCCAAGUAUAGUGGUGUGUGCCUGUAGUCCCAGCUACUUGGGAGGUUGAGGUGGGAGAAUUACUUGAGCCCAGGAGGUUGAGGCUGCAGUGAGCUGUUUUCAUACCACUGCACUCUAGCCUGGGCAACAGAGUGAGAUCCUGUCUCAA